RNAcentral lists this long non-coding RNA (2602 nucleotides) under Vigna radiata. RNAcentral's name for it is "long non-coding RNA (VRAD_LNC010470)". The record is from RNAcentral. Lineage: Eukaryota; Viridiplantae; Streptophyta; Magnoliopsida; Fabales; Fabaceae.
AAUCUCAUUGUUAUCUCUUAUAAUAAGCAUUAUGUGAGAAACAUUUAAAUAGAGUAACAAGAUAAAAUAAUUGUUAGAUCAUAUAUUUAACAAAAAUAUUUAAGUGCAAGUUUUAAUUGAAAAGUUUUAAAAUUAUAUGAUUAAAUAAACUAUAAAAGUGAAUAGAGAUUUAAUUGAAAGUUUUCAAGACUCAAGAUAUAAUUAUGUCUAAACUAAAAUAUAAGGACCUGAAAAUAAGCUGAGGGCUGAUGGACUUUAAGUUUAGGCAGUCCAGCCCAUAAAGAUUAAGGGCACAUGACCUUAGAAGGGGUUUUUUUCAAAGUCAGAUUCUUCAUUUGCUAAUUUUCCACUCUCUCUCUAAAACCCAUUUUCCCUAAAUAUUGCUCUGCCUUCUCUCUAAAAUACUACUAUGUUGAAUUGUUCAAUCUUUGGUUUGAAGGUGCCUAAGCGCUCGCGGCUUCGAGGGCUUCAUUCUAAACCGAUUACUUUCUCCGUCUCCUUCCCGUAAGUGGUUUUGCUAUUUCCUCCGCUAUUUUCGAAACCUAGGGCUUGGGGUUUUACUGAUUUCAUGCAAUUAGAACCUUUCCUUUUCUGAUUUCUAUUAUAUUCUAGCUCUAAGAGCUGUUUUCCAUCGCCUCUUUGGUGAGUUGUAGGGCGUUGUUGUGCUCCGCUGUGUGGGUACUGUCUUAGGACACUCUUAGCAAGUGGUACUGUUAAGCUUUCCAGGUAAGGGGAGCUAAUUAUUUUGCUUGAAAUUAUUUUAUAAAAUAUAUGCAUGUUGAAUUCUGAAUUUGGUGCUUUGAAUUGAACCUCUUUUAGUGUUUUAUGCAUGUUGAAUUAAAAAUGUGAUGUACUAUUGAGACUGUAAUGUUACUGUUUUAAGUAAUUGGUUUUGGUGUGUACUAUGCUACUUAAAUGAUUUAUCUGGGAUUGAUUUUAUGUGUCCUGUUUUGAUGGUUAUGAAUUGUUUCUGAAUGGGUUAUUGAUUGUGAUUGAUGAUGUUUUGGAAAAGGUCUUAAGUGAGAUUUAAUUAGCUUUGUUGGAUAGCAAUUGGAUACACAGGUACUGUUUUUGAUUAAUGUGAGAGGAAAUAAAAUAUAAAAAAAAAAGAAUUGGCAUUUGAGGUUUAGAGUAGUUUAGGUAACAUAAAUAAAUUAAUUAAAACUGGUUGAGAGCCUUUCUUUGUUGGUAGGAUAGAGGGGACUUAAAAACCUGAGUUGGCACAUCCCUGAUCAUAAAGCAGCCCUGGCCUGGUCCAGUCAGUUGUAACUAAUCAUAUGUGCUAGCACCGAAGGUGAGUUUGAUGCGUUCAGACAUCUAAACCCUCUCCAAUUGGGUAGUGAUGUGAGGUGGGGAACAAGUAUUUUGUAGUAAUGAAAAAUUUAGCAAGCAUUUUCAUAAUUAAGGGAACAUUGUAAGUUAUUUAGAGAUAAUAUGUAUCAUAAUAUAUUAUAUUAUUAAUGUAUAGAUUAUAUUUAUAUAUAUCUUAGUUUAAUAGAAUAUAAAUAUAUAUAUAUAUUUAUAAGAUACAAUACGUAACAUAUAUAUAUAUAUAUAUAUAUAUAUAUAUAUUGAUUUAAUAUAAUAUAAAUAUGGAUAUUUAUAAGAUACUGUACGUAUAUAUUAGUUUAAUAUAAUAUAAUUAUAUAAAAGAAAAAUUAAUAGGUAUGUAAGAUAUGUAUAAAGGAAAAUGGUGAUAGUUGGUGAUGUUCAUAAUAAUUUAUAAUAUUAUAAUAAAAUUAAAGGAAACAUGUUUUCAGUGUAUAUGAGUGUAGGCAUUGAAAAUAAAUUAUAAAGAUUCUGGUAUUGAUAAAUUAUGGAACUGUUUAUAAUUUGUGAUGAAUGGGUUAAUGUAUAUUAUUGAGAUUAUGUAUAUAUUGACUGUGACAAAAAGUAUAUGAUUACAAAGUGAUGAAAGUACGAUCCAAGUAGUAAACAAGUUCCAUCUGUUCAGAAUCUCUUGGUGAGAUUCUUAGUGUUUUAGAAUGGAAGUAGGAACUCAGUCUUGAGGGUCUUCUUGACGCUCCAAUGGUCUUUCUUCUCACGUAGAGAGGACUGAACCAUGUGGUGAGGAAUAACAUGAGGUCUUAGUUUUGGAGGCUUCCAUCAUGCUUCAAGGCGCGGAACAAGCUAACAUCGUGAGUGUGGCAGGGCGGGGGAGCCCAGGGCGGUGGAGCCCAAGGCGGUAGAGCCUAAGUAUCACAAGCCACCACGAGUGCAUGACCCGCCAUAGCUUGACUAUCAUUCUAAAGUCCAGACGAGUAAAGUCUAGUAUUUAACAUGAUAGGAUGAAUGUUUUAUCUUGUUUGCUUUAAAUUAAUAUCUUGUAUGUACAUGCUCUUAAUUGUAUGCUUUUUAUAUAAUUAGCUCACCCUUGCAAUUGUUUGUGUUUGUGCCAUGUUUGUGUUUGUUUCCCUUGCGAUGAUCAUCCACUUGGAUGGGAGCAGAUGGCAAGGAGAUACUUUGGAAACAAAUCUUGAUGGGGAUGACAGUGCUACAGUCUAGUUCUCUAGGCUUUAAUUCUCUUGUCCUAGGAUAUUUUGAAGAAACUUUAUUAUGUUCUAAGUUUUUAAUUCCUUGUAUUUUCAGGGAGAAACUUUAG